Molecule: ribosomal RNA, 200 nt
Filed under: uncultured organism
Description: partial small subunit ribosomal RNA
Rfam family: Bacterial small subunit ribosomal RNA
Source: RNAcentral
CGUCAAAUCAUCAUGCCCCUUAUGACCUGGGCUACACACGUGCUACAAUGGACGGUACGAACGGUUGCCAACCCGCGAGGGGGAGCUAAUCCGAUAAAACCGUUCUCAGUUCGGAUUGUAGGCUGCAACUCGAGUGCAUGAAGGCGGAAUCGCUAGUAAUCGCAGAUCAGCAUGCUGCGGUGAAUACGUUCCCGGGCCUU